AUAAAUAUUCUAAAUUCUAUUCCAACAUGAAGCCACAGAGAGCCACAACUCUGCACAACAUUGACUUCUGAGAGAGGAGGAAGGAAGAAACCAGAUAAAGAAAUUGAGGCAGACAGAGGUUAGAGGAUUUGAACUGAUGUUGCCAGGACUUGAAACCAGACAGUGGCUUAUAUUAGAGUCUGUGUUCUCAGCUACCAUACUAUCUGCUGUUCUGCUGAUGACCUGCGGAAAGCUUCAUUCACUGGCAAAAGAGAACAAAGGACCAUGGAAUGUGGAACCUUGCCCAGCCUGCUGCUCAGGAGGCGAUUGCUCAAGGCUGUCUUAUGCAGAGGAGGUCAACAGUUGACCCAUGAACCAUUUAAACUGGAAGGAAGAAUUAACCAAUACCCUGAGAGAUUGACUACAACUACUUUUUCCUGAAAGUUAGAGUGCAGAGUACAGGAGAGGAAGGCCAUUUACUAAUUUUCCUGCUUCCUUCACCAGUCCUCUACCUCUCCAUACCUAAGGUCCUUCACUCAAUAUACUCAAGUCUUCUCUGCUAUGUCUGCAUUCCCACAUGCCACGGCAUAUAAAAGCCUGUGAAGAAAAAACCAACACCUAGAAUUUUUUCCAUCCCUCACCUUUCCUUUGAGAACUCAACAACCCAAGCAACAUGAACCUUUUCCCAAAUACCAUUUAGGAGAAGUCACUGGCAGUUUAAGAAACAGAUUUUUUUAAAAAGUUCCAGGGUGAGACAUCUUCCAACAUAAACUUUAAAUAUCAUUCUUAGCAUCAAAGCAACAAUAUAUUUAGUAUGCUUCAAUCAUUCCCAAGGAGAAAGAUACUGGAAAAUGUGGUUUGAAGUGUAAAUUUAUAGAGCAGAGUCAUAACCGACAGUUAAUAUCUAAUGGUUUCAAUCAAAUUUAUAACAGAGCUGAGUUGGCAGCAAGCAUUCCUGGACCUGUCUCUCCAAUCACAGAGUACCCAGGGACACAGGCAUUUACACACGGACUCCGGGAGCUUGUGCAAUGUGAUACCAACUGCAGUUCUCUUCAUGAACAUAACCUCAGAACCGAAAGGCUUAUAGGUGGAAGAAACAUGUCUUGAGUCUCAGAUAAGACUUGCGGCUUUGGACUUUGAGUUCACACUGGAACCAAUUAAGACUUUGAGGAAGACUAUUAGGAAGGGAUGAUUGUAUUUUGCAUUGCGAGAAGGACAUGAGAUUUGGGGGACCAGAGGCAGA
This is a long non-coding RNA of Homo sapiens (human), 1222 nucleotides long. RefSeq lists it as uncharacterized. Lineage: Eukaryota; Metazoa; Chordata; Mammalia; Primates; Hominidae. The record is from RefSeq and is a predicted model, not a curated record. The transcript has 8 exons.